Molecule: small nucleolar RNA, 132 nt
Organism: Artibeus jamaicensis (Jamaican fruit-eating bat)
Lineage: Eukaryota; Metazoa; Chordata; Mammalia; Chiroptera; Phyllostomidae
Source: RefSeq, a predicted model, not a curated record
GUUCAGGUCUAUCCUGAUGGGGCCUUUUCUGUAGACCUACACUGUUGGAAACACCUCAUAGAGUAAAUACGUUGCUUCCUUUAUUCAUGGAACUAUGUGUUAGAUCUGUGGGCCAGGAACUGCAAGACAUAG